RNAcentral lists this transfer RNA (67 nucleotides) under Gammaproteobacteria bacterium. RNAcentral describes it as "tRNA-Lys". The stretch from base 3 to 59 matches the Rfam family "tRNA", at positions 9 to 63 of the family's 71-position model. From Rfam's summary of the family: Transfer RNA (tRNA) molecules are approximately 80 nucleotides in length. Their secondary structure includes four short double-helical elements and three loops (D, anti-codon, and T loops). Further hydrogen bonds mediate the characteristic L-shaped molecular structure. tRNAs have two regions of fundamental functional importance: the anti-codon, which is responsible for specific mRNA codon recognition, and the 3' end, to which the tRNAs corresponding amino acid is attached (by aminoacyl-tRNA synthetases). tRNAs cope with the degeneracy of the genetic code in two manners: having more than one tRNA (with a specific anti-codon) for a particular amino acid; and 'wobble' base-pairing, i.e. permitting non-standard base-pairing at the 3rd anti-codon position. Lineage: Bacteria; Pseudomonadati; Pseudomonadota; Gammaproteobacteria. The record is from RNAcentral.
CCGGCUCAAUUUGCAGAGCAGUGGACUCUUAAUCCAUGGGUUCGGGGUUCGAGUCCCCGAGGCCGAG